Molecule: ribosomal RNA, 461 nt
Filed under: uncultured Clostridiaceae bacterium
Lineage: Bacteria; Bacillati; Bacillota; Clostridia; Eubacteriales; Clostridiaceae
Description: bacterial SSU rRNA
Rfam family: Bacterial small subunit ribosomal RNA
Source: RNAcentral
AGAGUUUGAUCCUGGCUCAGGACGAACGCUGGCGGCGUGCCUAACACAUGCAAGUCGAGCGAUGAAACCCUUCGGGGUGGAUUAGCGGCGGACGGGUGAGUAACACGUGGGUAACCUGCCUCAAAGAGGGGAAUAGCCUCCCGAAAGGGAGAUUAAUACCGCAUAAUAUGUUUUGGUCGCAUGACCGAGACAUCAAAGGAGUAAUCCGCUUUGAGAUGGACCCGCGGCGCAUUAGCUAGUUGGUGAGGUAACGGCUCACCAAGGCGACGAUGCGUAGCCGACCUGAGAGGGUGAUCGGCCACAUUGGAACUGAGACACGGUCCAGACUCCUACGGGAGGCAGCAGUGGGGAAUAUUGCGCAAUGGGGGAAACCCUGACGCAGCAACGCCGCGUGAAUGAUGAAGGCCUUCGGGUUGUAAAGUUCUGUCUUCUGGGACGAUAAUGACGGUACCAGAGGAGAG